This 247-nucleotide long non-coding RNA is filed under the name Vigna radiata. RNAcentral's name for it is "long non-coding RNA (VRAD_LNC003727)". The record is from RNAcentral. Lineage: Eukaryota; Viridiplantae; Streptophyta; Magnoliopsida; Fabales; Fabaceae.
GACAACCAUAGGCUUUAUUAGGGGAAGAAGAAGGAAACAUACCUAUUAUAGGAGAAAGAUUCGAUGAGUAGACAAGAGAUUUGAAUGGUCGAAGAAUUGCGUGAAGAAAUGUUACAAAACGAUGGUCGAAAGGAUGCUCCAAGUGAAUGAACGAAGUCAACAAAAUUAAAACAAGCAACCUUUAAGGCUACACCAGUAAAUUUGGGGUUUUAUCUUCAGUGUUCAACGAUUUUGAUGGAGUAACUUU